This 507-nucleotide long non-coding RNA is filed under the name Panax ginseng (ginseng). RNAcentral's name for it is "long non-coding RNA (PGIN_LNC002977)". The record is from RNAcentral. Lineage: Eukaryota; Viridiplantae; Streptophyta; Magnoliopsida; Apiales; Araliaceae.
GGGGGUUGUUCUAUAUGGUGGGAAAAGAAGAAAAUAUAACUGAUGAUGAGCUAGGGGAGGAGAAUGAAUGUUGUAAUGGUGGUGAGGGUAAUCGAUCCAAUGUAUAGCUAUAUAUAGAGGGAGGGAGAGAUGUAGAUGAUGAGACGAAUAGUGGUUAAAUAGAAUCAAGAAUAAUAGUAAUAGUAACAGUAACAGUAAUAAUGUACAUAUAUGUUGAUGUUGGAGAUCGAGAGUGGCGAGUGUUAUGGGGUCGUCUUGGGGGAGUGUCGAUAGGGAGACAAGAAAUGAAAUGAGAUUAUUUCUCAUUGGACAACAUUACAUAACAUAAUGUCCUUUACCAUAAAAAUAGCAUCUCAACUGAUCACAUUACGUACCAUCAAAAGAUUAUAUGAUCAGGUCAUAACAAUUUGAAUAUUUAGGAAUCCUAUCAUGUGAAUUUAAUCUUCGUUCAGUUAAUCUAAUUUAAUUUAUAAUAUGGAUCUGAUAAUUCCUAACUAUAUAUAUAUA